GAUGAACGCUAGCGGGAGGCCUAACACAUGCAAGCCGAGCGGUAUGGGUAGCUUGCUACCCAGAGAGCGGCGUACGGGUGCGUAACACGUGUGCAACCUGCCCCUAUCCGGGGGAUAGCCCUCCGAAAGGAGGAUUAAUACCCCAUAAUAUAUCUGGUGGCAUCACUAGAUAUUGAAAACCCCGGUGGAUAGGGAUGGGCACGCGCAAGAUUAGAUAGUUGGCGGGGUAACGGCCCACCAAGUCGAUGAUCUUUAGGGGUCCUGAGAGGGAGAUCCCCACACUGGUACUGAGACACGGACCAGACUCCUACGGGAGGCAGCAGUGAGGAAGAUUGGACAAUGGGUGGAAGCCUGAUCCAGCCAUCCCGCGUGAGGGACGACGGCCCUAUGGGUUGUAAACCUCUUUUGUACGGGGAUAAACCUAUCUACGUGUAGAUAGCUGAAGGUACCGUACGAAUAAGCACCGGCUAACUCCGUG
RNAcentral lists this ribosomal RNA (478 nucleotides) under uncultured bacterium. Its description in RNAcentral is "partial 16S ribosomal RNA". It matches the Rfam family "Bacterial small subunit ribosomal RNA", at positions 28 to 507 of the family's 1533-position model. The record is from RNAcentral.